RNAcentral lists this ribosomal RNA (253 nucleotides) under uncultured bacterium. Its description in RNAcentral is "partial 16S ribosomal RNA". It matches the Rfam family "Bacterial small subunit ribosomal RNA", at positions 524 to 776 of the family's 1533-position model. The record is from RNAcentral.
UACAGAGGGUGCGAGCGUUAAUCGGAAUUACUGGGCGUAAAGCGUGCGUAGACGGUUUCGUAAGUCGGGUGUGAAAUCCCCGGGCUCAACCUGGGAAUUGCAUUCGAAACUGCGAGGCUAGGGUACGGAAGAGGGAAGCGGAAUUUCUGGUGUAGCGGUGAAAUGCGUAGAUAUCAGAAGGAACAGCAGUGGCGAAAGCGGCUUCCUGGUCCAGUACCGACGUUCAGGCACGAAAGCGUGGGGAGCAAACAGG